RNAcentral lists this ribosomal RNA (253 nucleotides) under uncultured bacterium. RNAcentral's name for it is "partial 16S ribosomal RNA". It matches the Rfam family "Bacterial small subunit ribosomal RNA", at positions 524 to 776 of the family's 1533-position model. The record is from RNAcentral.
UACGUAGGGGGCAAGCGUUGUCCGGAUUUAUUGGGCGUAAAGAGCGUGUAGGCGGCCAGGUAGGUCUGCUGUGAAAACCCGGGGCUCAACUCCGGGCCUGCAGCCGAUACGGGCAGACUAGAGUUCGGCAGGGGAGACUGGAAUUCCUGGUGUAGCGGUGAAAUGCGCAGAUAUCAGGAGGAACACCGGUGGCGAAGGCGGGUCUCUGGGCCGAUACUGACGCUGAGGAGCGAAAGCGUGGGGAGCGAACAGG